Molecule: ribosomal RNA, 500 nt
Filed under: uncultured bacterium
Lineage: Bacteria
Description: partial 16S ribosomal RNA
Rfam family: Bacterial small subunit ribosomal RNA
Source: RNAcentral
AUUGAACGCUGGCGGAAUGCAUUACACAUGCAAGUCGGACGGCAGCACGGACUUCGGCCUGGUGGCGAGUGGCGAACGGGUGAGUAAUGUAUCGGAACGUGCCCAGUCGUGGGGGAUAACGUAGUGAAAAUUACGCUAAUACCGCAUACGAUCUAUGGAUGAAAGCGGGGGAUCGCAAGACCUCGCGCGAUUGGAGCGGCCGAUAUCAGAUUAGGUAGUUGGUGGGGUAAAGGCCCACCAAGCCAACGAUCUGUAGCUGGUCUGAGAGGACGACCAGCCACACUGGAACUGAGACACGGUCCAGACUCCUACGGGAGGCAGCAGUGGGGAAUUUUGGACAAUGGGCGAAAGCCUGAUCCAGCCAUUCCGCGUGCAGGAUGAAGGCCCUCGGGUUGUAAACUGCUUUUGUACAGAACGAAAAGGUUUCUACUAAUACUAGGAGCUCAUGACGGUACUGUAAGAAUAAGCACCGGCUAACUACGUGCCAGCAGCCGCAGUAA